UACGUAGGGAGCAAGCGUUGUCCGGAAUCAUUGGGCGUAAAGCGCGUGUAGGCGGCUCGAUAAGUCUGGUGUGAAAACUGGAGGCUCAACCUCCAGCUGUCAUUGGAUACUGUCGGGCUAGAGUCCGGAAGAGGAGAGUGGAAUUCCUGGUGUAGCGGUGGAAUGCGCAGAUAUCAGGAGGAACACCAAUGGCGAAGGCAGCUCUCUGGUACGUGACUGACGCUGAGACGCGAAAGCGUGGGGAGCGAACAGG
Molecule: ribosomal RNA, 253 nt
Filed under: uncultured bacterium
Lineage: Bacteria
Description: partial 16S ribosomal RNA
Rfam family: Bacterial small subunit ribosomal RNA
Source: RNAcentral